CACUCCCUACGGGAGGCAGCAGUGAGGAAUAUUGGUCAAUGGGCGCGAGCCUGAACCAGCCAAGUAGCGUGAAGGAUGACUGCCCUAUGGGUUGUAAACUUCUUUUAUAAAGGAAUAAAGUGAGGCACGUGUGCCUUUUUGUAUGUACUUUAUGAAUAAGGAUCGGCUAACUCCGUGCCAGCAGCCGCGGUAAUACGGAGGAUCCGAGCGUUAUCCGGAUUUAUUGGGUUUAAAGGGAGCGUAGAUGGGUUGUUAAGUCAGUUGUGAAAGUUUGCGGCUCAACCGUAAAAUUGCAAUUGAUACUG
RNAcentral lists this ribosomal RNA (305 nucleotides) under uncultured bacterium. RNAcentral's name for it is "bacterial SSU rRNA". It matches the Rfam family "Bacterial small subunit ribosomal RNA", at positions 334 to 635 of the family's 1533-position model. The record is from RNAcentral.